UUGGAUGCAGUGAGUGACUCCAGAUCCUAAUUGAACACAACAAGCCCUGUGACAGCGAGAGGAGAUAUGUCUGCAGUGGUGGAGCCAGGUGGGUUAGACUGCGAGCAGCGAGAGGAGAGGUGAUAUGUCUGCAGUGGUGGAGCCAGGUGGGUUAGACUGCGAGCAGCGAGAGGAGAGGAGAUAUGUCUGCAGUGGUGGAGCCAGGUGGGAUAGACUGCGAGCAGCGAGAGGAGAGGAGAUAUGUCUGCAGUGGUGGAGCCAGGUGGGUUAGACUGUGAGCAGCGAGAGGAGAGGAGAUAUGUCUGCAGUGGUGGAGCCAGGUGGGUUAGACUGUGAGCAGCGAGAGGAGAGGAGAUAUGUCUGCAGUGGUGGAGCCAGGUGGGUUAGACUGCGAGCAGCGAGAGGAGAGGAGAUAUGUCUGCAGUGGUGGAGCCAGGUGGGUUAGACUGCGAGCAGCGAGAGGAGAGGAGAUAUGUCUGCAGUGGUGGAGCCAGGUGGGUUAGACUGUGAGCAGCGAGAGGAGAGGAGAUAUGUCUGCAGUGGUGGAGCCAGGUGGGUUAGACUGUGAGCAGCGAGAGGAGAGGAGAUAUGUCUGCAGUGGUGGAGCCAGGUGGGUUAGACUGCGAGCAGCGAGAGGAGAGGAGAUAUGUCUGCAGUGGUGGAGCCAGGUGGGUUAGACUGCGAGCAGCGAGAGGAGAGGAGAUAUGUCUGCAGUGGUGGAGCCAGGUGGGUUAGACUGUGAGCAGCGAGAGGAGAGGAGAUAUGUCUGCAGUGGUGGAGCCAGGUGGGUUAGACUGCGAGCAGCGAGAGGAGAUAUGUCUGCAGUGGUGGAGCCAGGUGGGUUAGACUGCGAGCAGCGAGAGGAGAGGAGAUAUGUCUGCAGUGGUGGAGCCAGGUGGGUUAGACUGCGAGCAGCGAGAGGAGAGGAGAUAUGUCUGCAGUGGUGGAGCCAGGUGGGUUAGACUGCGAGCAGCGAGAGGAGAUAUGUCUGCAGUGGUGGAGCCAGGUGGGUUAGACUGCGAGCAGCGAGAGGAGAGGAGAUAUGUCUGCAGUGGUGGAGCCAGGUGGGUUAGACUGUGAGCAGCGAGAGGAGAGGAGAUAUGUCUGCAGUGGUGGAGCCAGGUGGGUUAGACUGCGAGCAGCGAGAGGAGAUAUGUCUGCAGUGGUGGAGCCAGGUGGGUUAGACUGCGAGCAGCGAGAGGAGAUAUGUCUGCAGUGGUGGAGCCAGGUGGGUUAGACUGCGAGCAGCGAGAGGAGAUAUGUCUGCAGUGGUGGAGCCAGGUGGGUUAGACUGCGAGCAGCGAGAGGAGAGGAGAUAUGUCUGCAGUGGUGGAGCCAGGUGGGUUAGACUGCGAGCAGCGAGAGGAGAUAUGUCUGCAGUGGUGGAGCCAGGUGGGUUAGACUGCGAGCAGCGAGAGGAGAGAAGAUAUGUCUGCAGUGGUGGAGCCAGGUGGGUUAGACUGCGAGCAGCGAGAGGAGAGAAGAUAUGUCUGCAGUGGUGGAGCCAUCUGGAGGUACUGCACUGAGCGGGCAGAGGGUUUAAAUGGCACAACGCCACAGUAACAGGGCAUUACUGACACUCCUGAUGGUGCGACUGGGGCAUGAGUUACAGGUUGCCAUCGCCGACAAAGUGUGUGUAUGUGUGAGCGUGCACACAAGCAUCUGGUUCACACCUCCCCUGACUGGAUGAGGAAGCUAGUGCUUCCACACACAGACCUGGGUUUAACUACCAUUUGAAAUAAUUGCAUGUCAUUUAGCUUGCCUGUUGCAACAGAACCAAUAUUAAAAGUCCCAAAAUUGGAAACCCCGCCCACCUGGCAGUCAAGGCAGACUAAAGCAAACGCUGAAAAUAUUUGAACGAUUUCAAAUCAUAUUUAAAUCCAGGUCUGCUCACACAGCAGGGCUGGGCCACACAUCCAUGUCACACACUGUAAACAGGUGAUGCCACCACCUGGCUUUGAGCGCAGUGAUUUGACUUGCACCAGGAGGCAUAGUUUUCGAACAUGAGAACAUUUAAAAGUAACUGAAGACAAGUACUUGGGAGAAUCCCACAGCGGUAUUUUGCAUUGUCAGGUAAACCCACCUGACAAUGCAAAGUCUGUGCUAUGAUGUUACAGGCUAAUGAUCACCGUUAACAGUGCCUACUCAGUCAAUGACUAGCAUUUUUGUGGUUGAAAAAGUUUCACUCAAGUAUUGUGAGGAAAACGAUCAUAAAAUCCACGAUACCAUCCAUACUAACUGAAACCUAACAAAUAUAAAUAAAACACCCACACACAGGGUGUCCUGGUUUGUUGAAACCACAGCCCAGGGUGUGCCACCCCCACCACCUCUCUGUGGUGUCUCUCACUGCAUACCUCAUGGCUUCCAUUUUCCAAAGCAGCUUUGUUGCACCAAAAUGUCACUUUGGGUCCCUCCCACACACAUUUACACAGACAACAAUAGUAGCCUAAAUGAAAACCGACACUAUAGUCUUCUAAUAAGUCUACAUUUGGACCAACAGUUUUUGUUCUAUCUGCAGGUUUCAGACUGUCAAAAUAUUCUCUGCUCUAUUCAACACCUGGCAUGUGUGUUCAGUGAAACUUGGGUGGCUGAGGUCCGAACAGAGAGCCUUCCUAUAACAUACCCUGCCAGCCUGAAAUGUUCUGAACAUUGCAGACAGAAAUAGAAUGAAUCUGACAAUCAUAUCUGUUCUACACGAUACAUUUCUAACAGUAUGUUAUGCAACGUUACACAUCCUUUGGACAAGCUGCUGGCAACUCUCACUGCUCUCUGUGCCAAAACAAUGAAUUUGUGAGUGGUUAUUAUGUACCAGGCACCAGCUUCCCCAAGCUUUCUCAACGACUAUGCAUGCCAGGCUGACAAAGUAUACUUCUGGCAUUCUCUCUUUGGUCCUCUGCCUCCUCACUACCUCAAAAAAAGCAUUUUCAUAACCCAAACUCCGGCCAAAAAUAAUAUCUGGUUAGUGGUUUUGGUUGAGCACCGGCACCAACUUUACCAGGCUUUCACAAUGAUUGUGCAUGGCAUGCCAUGCUGCUAGGCGAUUCAGCAAAACUCCACAGAAAUAAGCCUCAGCCUCACAGUCUCAGGCUCAAUGAGAUAGGACAAGACGCGGCACGCUCUGCUCCAUCAAGAAGAGCUUUCAAAGCUUUCAUCUCAAGUCCAGAGGCCAAACAUGCAAAUCAUCACAACGUAGCCAGACACCGCUCCCUGCUGAAUGCACGCUGAUUUAAUAUGUAGCAUAUAGGCUUGCUUUACAUUCAUUCACAGAUUUGCAUGCAUGGGAGAUACAUACAUGUGCGCAAACGGAAGUAACUCGUAACGAUACAAAAAGACAGUGCACGCACUGACAUACAUGCCAAAGAAUUACAUGAGUAGAGAAACAUUUGAAUAUAGCUCAAUCAGGCACGCAUAGUCAAGAUGUCGCUAAGUGAUUGGAGCAGACCUAGUGUACUUCCCAAAUGGCACCCUAUUCCCUAUAUAGUGCACCAUGGACCCUGGUCAAAAGUAGUCCACUACAGGUGCCAUUUGGGACGCAGUCCUAUGGCAGGCCUGUUUAAACAUUAGGAUUCUUUCUAUCAGAUCUCUCCAGAGUGGAAAAUCACAACAAAUGGAACAUGCAGUUGAGCUAGAACAAAUGUCCAGUGAUUGUUACUCAGAACAAAAGAGAGAAAGGUAUAGGAUCAAUAGAUUAUAUAAUUUACAGUGUACAGGGAAAGAAUAAGCUAAUAUGCUGCAUUGUCUGUCCUGAGCUAAUAAAAUAUGGUUAGUUUCAAAAACAGGCCUUCAAAAAAAGCUCUUCCUAAGACUACAAUUCUGCUCAUAUAUUUUCACAUCUGUGAGAAUUUUGGCAUAAUAACCACUCGCCUGCUAAAUAAGACAUGAUUCAAACAGUUUUAGAAACUUCAGAGUGUUUUCUCUCCAAAUCUACUAAUAAUAUCACAUCAUAUCUUAGCAUAUGUGGGAACUCUUUCAAGACUAUUGGAAAAGCAUUCCAGGUGACAACCUCAUGAAGCUGGUUGACAGAAUGCCAAGAGCGUGCAAAGCUGUCAAGGCAAAGAAAGGGUGGCUACUUUGAAUAAUCUAAAAUAUAUAUUUUUUUGUUUAACACUUUGAUUACAUGAUUCCAUUUGUGUUAUUUCAUAGUUUUGAUAUCUUCACUAUUAUCCUACAAUGUAGAACAUCGUACGAAUAAAGAAAAACCCUUGAAUAAGUAGGUAGGUGUCCAAACUUUUGACUGGUACUCUGUUCAUGAAUAAUUUCAUCCAAACUGCUUGCAUGCAUCUGAGUAGCCAGUUCUAUUUUAGACGCUUGAGUUACUGCAAGUGCAGCCUCUCCCAUAUCCUCAUUGGUUUUAGGAGAAUGUACCCACUCGGGUGACAGACGAAUGAGGACCACACACCACUCCAGUUGGUUGCAGUAAUGCACCUUAGUUGAUUGCCAACGCCAUAUAAACACCACAGAAGACAACUAGGAGAGAUUACUGGAAACUAACAAGGUUUCCCCUUUUAUCUGUGGAUAAAUUCUGAGUAGAGAACACACGAUUGUGUGACUCAAAAUGGGUCGAUAUACAACAAAGAUACAGCAAAAAGAAAAAAAAGACCUUGUACAUUUCAGGUAAAACAACAACCUAAUGUUUAUAUUCAAUGACAAAUUAGCUAGUAACAGCAAGCUAGCUAAAUGUCCAUGAAUGUUUAAUGUGUUUCGACCUGUCCCCAAAUGAAUAUAGUUGGUUCAGAGUUAUUUUUUAUUUAAACUUGCAUGUUCUGAUCGCAUCUGGUGUGGAUAGACAAGAUCAGCAUGCACACAAUAGCGCACACACGUGCAUGCCCGGUGUCGUCAGCAUGUAAUUAAAAGCAGUAGUACUGAAGCCAAAGAAAUGGCGAAGAAAACAGCCAGUGAUCUGCCAGAUCUGCCAUAGCGAUCUUUGCUGAAACCAAGGUUGCCAGAGACAGUGCUUCAAGCACUGUGAAUUUAGAGAAAAAUCUUUGUGCAGCUAGACAGGCCCAUGCCUCACACUGCAGAUAAUAAACCCAGAGUGGCAUUCAUAGCAGGCAGAACCAAUCAGCCCGCUUAUUCUUCCUCUUCCAAACCCACACGGCCCGGAAUCCCAACAAUCUCAAGAGGUCCUCAAUUAAAUUCCGGAGACCCAGAGGAAGAUAUGAAUAAGACAUCGGCAUGAGGGAUGGACAGAGGGAAAUAGAAAUGGGAGGGGGGGCAGGCCAGAGCAGAGACCGACAGAGAGAGCGGGAUGAAAAUAACAUAUCUUGAGCCUGCGGCUGUUACGCCCCUACUUGCCACCCAGGCAGUCUGAGAGAUACCCUACACUUCCAAAGUGUUGGUUCCAUGUUUCAUGAGCUGAAAUAAAAGAUCCCAGAAAUGUUCCAUACGCACAAAAAGCUAAUUUCUCAAAAAUGUUUUGUUUAGAACCCCUGUUAGUGAGCAUUUCUCCUUUGCCAAGAUAAUCAAUCCAUCUGACAGGUGUGGCAUAUCAAGAAGCUGAUUAAACAGCUUGGCCCCUAAAAUGUAGGGUUUUGUAACACAAUGCCACAGAUGUCUCAAGUUCAGGGAUAACUGUUCCUGCAUACUGCUAUGUAAACUCACCUAGGUCUCUAGAGCAAAUACAAGUCAUGUCUACUUAUUUUCUAUAUUAACAGACUAAUCUACCGUUUAAUUAAAACAUGUUUACUUGGCAACAAAUUAAAGUUUAAAUUAUAAACCAACUAACUGCAUCAUUUGUUUUAGCAGUAAGACUGAAGCUAGUUUAUUGAAAUACAUUUCAUGAAUAUCACAAUGAAUUGAUCAACCAGUUGAAGUCAACACUAAUGGUUUGAUGCAGCUGAAAUAAUUUAGUCAUUUGUCAGUACAGUCGUAAAAAAAAAAUGAUACAAUUACAUAUAUACACACACAACAGCUAGCAAUAUCUAUACCGCAACGCAGUUGUGAGCAUACUAGGCAUUCUACACUGAACAAAAAUAUAAGACGCAACAUGUUAAGCGUUGGUCCCAUGUUUUUGUGCAGAAGGAAAUGAGCCCAGAAAUUUGCCAUAAGCACAAAAAGUAUAUUUCUCUAAAGUGUUGUACACAAAUUUGUUUACAUCCCUGUUAGUAAGCAUUUCUCAUUUGCCAGGUUUUAUAGAAUUUGGCAGUGCGUCCAAUCGGCAGGGCCCAAUUUAUUUAUUUCAAUUUCCUGAUACGAAUUGUAACUAAGUCAUUUUUGAAUUUAUAUUUUUGUUCAGUAUAUAUCCUUUGGGUUACAGCUGUCAUGUUGGUCCAGCUGUCACGUGGUCCUUCUGUAGCUCAGUUGGUAGAGCAUGGCGCUUGUAACGCCAGGGUAGUGGGUUCGAUUCCCGGGACCACCCAUACGUAGAAUGUAUGCACACAUGACUAAGUCGCUUUGGAUAAAAGCGUCUGCUAAAUGGCAUAUAUUAUUAUUAUAUUAUGUUGUGAAGCUCCACUGGGAACCAUUUCGUCACCACAAGGCUUCUUAGAUGGUUGAGGUUUACCUAACGAUACUCUCGGCGGUGUUGUCUGUGCAUAAGUGUAUCAGCUUCAGGUCACUGCAGUGCGCAGUCCUGCUUAAGUAGUGGUUAACUUCACCACGAUGACUACAACAUAAGAUCAUUGUUCAACUAUGGGGGGACCGACCAAUACCUGUGAUCUUCAUGUCGUAUUUAGUACACCUGUUUUUAGCCCUUAUCACGUUUAAACCAAGAUGGCAUGGCAGUCAGACGUCCUUUGUCCUCGUCUUGUCGUGUCCCGGUGAUAUAUAUUUACAUCUUUUCAUAUAUUUUAUUUUCUAAAAACUCAACUUCAAAACUCUCCUGCAACCUGCCUCACCAACUUAAAAUAAAAAUACAAGUAUUAUUCACCUCAAAUCUGAAAUCCACAAUAGAAGCUAGCCAGUUUACUGGCUAACGUUAGUAUUCAGCUAACCACGGUUGGUGGUCAUCAGCUAUCCUUUAGCUCGAAAAACUAUCGCCAGUUUUGUACAACGCGACUCAGACCAGAGCAUACCGGACCUAUUUUCUCUCCAUAUCCCCAGAUUUCUACCACAAGCUCUGGACAUUUACACCUGGAUCUUGCAGCUAGCUAGCUGCUAUCCGAGUGACUAUUGGCUUACGCCGGUCCCGGAGCAAACAUCAAUUAUUCCGGAGCUAGCCACCUGAAGAGUUCCAUCAGCCACUCCUGGGCUACAAUCACCUAUCCGGACCCGUUUUACUGCCGAUGCGGAGCCCCACCGGGCCUUCACGACUGGACUACCGACGUUAUCUGCCCAAGGGAGUUAUCCAACUGGCCCCUCCGUUGCGACGUUACCUGAACGCCCAUUUGCGGCCCGCUAAUCGUUAGCUGUCUUAUCGGCUGCUAUCUGAAUAGGUCUAUCGGACAAUUUUCUUGGAUCACUAUAACUAUUUUGCCAAUUGGAUUGGUCCCCCUCUACCAGACGGAACCCCACUAAUAUACCGACGGAAACGCACGAUGUGGCUAAAAACAGACCUCCAUCCUCUGCCAGCUUGCUACCGAUGGCCCGGCUUGCUGUCUGAAUCACAGUAACCCCAACCAACCUCACUACUCACUGGACCCUUAUGAUCACCCGGAUAUGCAUGCCUCUCCUUAAUGUCAAUAUAUCUUGUCCAUUGCGGUUCUGGUUAGUGUUUAUUGGCUUAUUUCACUGUAGAGCCUCUAGCCAUGCUCAUUAUACCUUAUCCAACCUUUCAGUUCCACCACCCACACCUGUGAUGACAUCACCUGGUUUCAAUUAUGUUUCUAGAGACAAUAUCUCUCUCAUCACUCAAUGCCUAGGUUUACCUCCACAUCCUACCAUACCCUUGUCUGUACAUUAUGCUUUGAAGCUAUUUUAUCACCCCAAUAAACCUCCUUUCUCUCUGUUCCGGAUGUCCUAGACGACCAAUUCUCAUAGCUUUUAGCCGUACCCUUAUCCUACUCCUCUGGUGAUGUAGAGGUGAAUCCAGGCCCUGCAGCGACUAGCUCCACUGCUAUUCCCCAGGUGCUCUCUUUUGAUGACUUCUGUAACCGUAAUAGCCUUGGUUUCAUGCAUGUUAACAUUAGAAGCCUCCCCCCUAAGUUUGUUUUAUUCACUGCUUUAGCACACUAACCCGGAUGUCCUAGCCAUAUCUGAAUCUUGGCUUAUUGAGAACUUGUUCUCAACUUGCCUACCUGGUUAAAUAAAGGAGUGCAAAAAUGGCCCAAGGCAUAGUAAGAUUAAGUCGAUAACUUAGAAAUUAAGGGAAGCACUUGUCUUGAGCAGCGUUACGAAUCCCUUUGGCCCAGCAAUCUAGGGGGGGAUGGUAACGAGACCCGUAACAUAACUCAUGCCAAGUAUAAUAGCGAAAAACAGUGAGAACGAAAAACCACAGACAACUAAAUUACCGUCAAACACUCAUGGUUUAUUUCUAAACACACGGUAAAGGGGGGCGGGAAAAGGGGCUGACCUGGACCCAAGGAAAUAAACAAAUAUCCAAAAACACCCCUAAACUAGACUAGCUUACUUCAAUACAGCUAACUAACUAAUCAAAAAUACAGUGGGUGGUCCACCCAGUUCUAACUAUGGUAUUUAGACAAAGUUUACCUACUGGUAGUGUAUGCCCAUGGGCGACUUGUCUUGAUACCCCCUUUCCCCACCAACAAACAAAUAGCCAUGAACCACAACAAUACAUAUUCACAUAAUUCCGGGCAAAUGUGACAUGUAGGAACAAAAAAACAAAAAAUAAGUAAAUAACGAGUGAGAGCAAUAUUGCAAGAGAUUGAGACACAGAGAGAUUAAAACACAAAGAGAUCAAUCUCCAGAUAAUACAACUGACUGGGUUUUUAAACCAAGGGAAAGGGAAUGUGAUAGGGUAAGAGAAAAGGAGCAGGUGUCUUCUGAUUAGCGACUGAUUGGGGAAUGAUGAUUGUCACCUGUGAGGGGAGAAGGAUAGAAAUGAAAUACACACAGGAUACACACUCAGGAUACUUGUAUUCGUAACAAGCAGCCAUAACAGUUGCUGGUCUGGUAGCAGCCUAACAUGAGCUAGCAUUAUUUACGAGUCCAAGCGUGGCAGCCUGCUAACUCUCUCAUAGCAGAUUUUCACAGGAUGUAGGCCUACCGGGCUGUUUAAUUUGGCCAGGCUUCAGCCUGGAGAUUUGGCUGGAGGUGAGAGGCUGUUACAGAACAGAAAGAAGGAAAAAAGAAAAUUGGCCCCCGAGAUUAGAUUAAAUAUUAUUGACUGCUGGGACCAGGUGACCUGCUACGUUUUAUUCCACACACACACACACACACACACACACACACACACACACACACACACACACACACACACACACACACACACACACACACACA
Long non-coding RNA from Oncorhynchus keta (chum salmon), 9339 nucleotides. RefSeq lists it as uncharacterized. Lineage: Eukaryota; Metazoa; Chordata; Actinopteri; Salmoniformes; Salmonidae. The transcript has 2 exons. The record is from RefSeq and is a predicted model, not a curated record.